This 253-nucleotide ribosomal RNA is filed under the name uncultured bacterium. RNAcentral describes it as "partial 16S ribosomal RNA". It matches the Rfam family "Bacterial small subunit ribosomal RNA", at positions 524 to 776 of the family's 1533-position model. The record is from RNAcentral.
UACGGAGGGAGCUAGCGUUAUUCGGAAUUACUGGGCGUAAAGGGCUCGUAGGCGGCCAACUAAGUCAUACGUGAAAUCCCUCGGCUUAACCGGGGAACUGCGUCUGAUACUGGAUGGCUUGAGAUUGGGAGAGGGAUGCGGAAUUCCAGGUGUAGCGGUGAAAUGCGUAGAUAUCUGGAGGAACACCGGUGGCGAAGGCGGCAUCCUGGACCAACACUGACGCUGAGGAGCGAAAGCCAGGGGAGCAAACGGG